UACGGAGGGUGCGAGCGUUGUCCGGAAUCACUGGGCGUAAAGGGCGCGUAGGUGGCGACCCAAGUCCGUGGUGAAAGCUCGUCGCUUAACGACGAGUCGGCCACGGAGACUGGGUGGCUUGAGCACUGUAGGGGCUAAUGGAAUUCCGGGUGUAGCGGUGGAAUGCGUAGAGAUCCGGAAGAACACCAGUGGCGAAGGCGGUUAGCUGGGCAGUUGCUGACACUGAUGCGCGCCAGCGUGGGGAGCAAACAGG
This 253-nucleotide ribosomal RNA is filed under the name uncultured bacterium. RNAcentral describes it as "partial 16S ribosomal RNA". It matches the Rfam family "Bacterial small subunit ribosomal RNA", at positions 524 to 776 of the family's 1533-position model. The record is from RNAcentral.